RNAcentral lists this ribosomal RNA (333 nucleotides) under uncultured bacterium. RNAcentral describes it as "bacterial SSU rRNA". It matches the Rfam family "Bacterial small subunit ribosomal RNA", at positions 8 to 334 of the family's 1533-position model. The record is from RNAcentral.
AGAGUUCGAUCAUGGCUCAGGACGAACGCUGGCGGCGUGCUUAACACAUGCAAGUCGAACGAAAAUACCAAGCUUGCUUGGUUGAUUAGUGGCGAACGGGUGAGUAACACGUGAGUAACCUGCCCCUUACUUUCCUGGAUAACUGCUCGAAAGGGUAGCUAAUACGGGAUAUUCUGACCAUCCUGCAUGGGUUGGUUUGGAAAGGUUGUUUUUCUGGUAAGGGAUGGGCUCGCGGCCUAUCAGCUUGUUGGUGGGGUGAUGGCCUACCAAGGCUUUGACGGGUAGCCGGCCUGAGAGGGUGGACGGUCACACUGGGACUGAGAUACGGCCCAG